Long non-coding RNA from Nicotiana attenuata, 979 nucleotides. RefSeq lists it as uncharacterized. NCBI's taxonomy places the organism in Eukaryota, Viridiplantae, Streptophyta, Magnoliopsida, Solanales, Solanaceae. The record is from RefSeq and is a predicted model, not a curated record. The transcript has 3 exons.
UGUUGAAGAUAUGAAUAGGGAUAUUCUGGUCCUUGUUUAUAACUGAUCAAGUCCUGAGCACUUUUACACCUGGGAAAAUAUGUGAGUAUAGACGAAUUUAUUACCUCAUUUUCAUUAUAUGUGGCAGAGUUUGCUAGUGUAAUUUUCUUUUGCAGAACGCAUGUAAGGAAUACAUCCUCGGACGUCUAAAUUGUGAUGCAUUAUAUUCUUCCCAGCUAUUUCCGUUCUUUUCUUCAUUUUGUGGGCUGCAAGAAUCAGCCCAUCGAUGCAUUUGGAGUUGAGGCUGUUGUAUCUUUGAUCAAGAUGUUUCAAUAGGAGCUGCUGUACGAUGUUUGGCCUCAUGUGCAACAGUAAAUGUUAUUAUAACGCAUGAAAGUUCAAAUUCUCCUAUCUUUAUACGUACCUCGGUGGCUGCAACAAGAAAAAGAAGUGCAGGUGGAUGAAUUUGCAAUUAGAUGCGGCUGUAGUUGCAGUUAGCUCUACAUGUGUAGAUAAUUUUGCUCCGUCGAAGCUCACACUUUCAUCCCUCCCAAAUCGACAAUGCCUUGAUUGUUGUUCAAUAGCCCGGCUCAACUGCUGUACUAGUUUUGGUGAUGCUAAGCUUCGAUAACACUCUGUCACAGACUCGCCAACUUUGGCGGCAAAAGCUAACUCAUGAUGUGAAAAGUUGUGAACUGUCCAGAUAUCUCUCUCCAAUGUAGGCUACUCGGGUUGAAGCCAUAUGUUUUCUUUCGUUUUCGCUAUGGCAUCUUUUUUCAUAUUUCCUGUUCAAAGAUAAUCCAAGAUUUUAAGUCUGUGAAUGUAAAAUACCGCCACAAUGCUACAUCUUUGAUGUGUGCUAAUGAGUUCAAGUGAUUGUAUAACCUGCAAGUGACAUGCUUGAAUAUAGGCGUGUACAGUGACGAAAAAGUUGUGAUGAAUGCAACACAAUGCCAUUCUCCUAAUAUCUUUCACCAAUUAACUCCCAAAUACUGUAACU